Molecule: long non-coding RNA, 365 nt
Organism: Empidonax traillii (willow flycatcher)
Lineage: Eukaryota; Metazoa; Chordata; Aves; Passeriformes; Tyrannidae
Exons: 2
Source: RefSeq, a predicted model, not a curated record
AUUUCAGGUUCAUACAGUGGAAGAGACUUGAAAUGUCUACAGAUCCACAGCAAGAGUUGAUGCACAUGGAUAAGUGUUUGCAGUUAUUCACAUGCAGUUCAUUUCCCUGAACACCAGCAGUCACGUGCAAUUUCUUGAACUGGGUGCAGCAGUACUCAACCCAGCAGCAGCAGCUACUGAGUGCCAAAGGAAAAUAAAUCAUAGAGAGGCAUUAUUCUGCUGGGAAAAUGAAAUGGAAAAUGACUCUCCUGUAGCCAGUAGGCUCGUGAGGAGCACAUUACAUUACAAAAACAUUCAGCUUCGUAGUUGCAAACCAGCCACUAGAGGUCAGUGGUUUGGAAUAAAAUAAGCACAAGAAGGAAAAA